AAGGUGCUUGCUUCCCCUUCACCUUCUGCCAUGACUGUGAGUUUCCUGAGGCCUCCCCAGCCAUGCCUCCUGCACAGCCUGUGGAACCGUGAGUGAAUUAAACUCUUUUCUUCAUAAAUUACCCAGUCUCAGGUAGUUCUUGAUAGCAGUGUGAGAAGGACUAAUAUGCCCUGCUAACUUCAUGAGGAGCGUGUACACUCACUGCUUCCACUUCAGCUAUUUCCAUGCUAGCUAAUUUCCUUCUCAUGCAUGGUGAGACAUGCAUUUCAAUUAUCUUCCUAGUUUCUUCCAACUCUUGCCUAUUUACCUCGUUUGAAAAGUGUUAUUCCCUCUCCUUUCUUGGUCUCUUUUGUAAGCCAAGAAAUAAGCUGUAUUAAGUUUAAUAAAUCUAAGAACAGUUCUACAGAUUUAACUACCCUGGGGUUUGCAAUGAAAUUAAAUUAAACGAAGAACCUAGUUGGCAUCCUCUGAAAUUUGUCAGAAUCUUACACCUGUGGAGUAUAUCAGCAUCCCCACAGAGGUUUCGAUUGCCUCCUUCUGCUCUCCUAAUUAAACCUGCUAUUCUUUUGAAGGCCUGCCUCUCAAAUUAUACAAUCUUUCCAAAAUAACAUCUUACUUAGGAUUAUUGUUUUUAUGAUUGUUUAAAUAGUAAUAUAGAAAAAUAGGGUUUUCUUAUAUCUUUCCUUCGCAAUAAACAAUUUUCAACAAUAUAAUAGCUUAAAUAGGUGAUUGUGAUGUCACCCUUAGGAUAUAAUCACUGCUUGUCACAUCGUUUCUGUAGAAAAACCAACUCACAUAUGAUGAAAUGUGAUGGGGGUGAAAUAACAGCAGUGUGAUUUUCGACCACCAACUUGCCUUGGAAGGGAAUUUGGGGAUGUGCACCGCUGGAAGCCAUGUGUUCUGAUAUGAGAAGAACUUCUUCAGAAGAUGUCUUAAUGCAUAUGGGGAAACUGAGGUCCAGAUUACACAUACAUGAGUUGUCCUGGAAAAUCUCAAGUCAAAGAAGCUGCACUGCAGGAAAUCAAUAUGGUGCAGGCCCCAGGCAAGGCAUCACUGACUAUACUUGCAAGAAACAAAUGCCUGCAAAAAUCAGGACAAGAUGAUUUUGAAGCUGUGCAAAACAGACAUGGCACAGGAGACACAGCAAUAACUAAGUAUGUACAACAAAUCAAAGGAUGGAGCCUCAAACUGAAGCCAAGUCUACCAUAUCUUAUCAAUUUACCCAAUACCAUUGUCUCUCUCUGUAAAGGUUACCCUUUUAUGCACAUAAAUGUGAAUUAGAACAUCUCUGCCCUGCUCCUUUCAGCAGUACAGCUCUGCAAUGACACACGCUGCCAUCCAUUUCACUGGAACAUUUGCCAUAAAGUUGCUUUAAAAGACAUUCUCUUACAAUACUGUCAAUGGCCCUUGCAUUAAAAAUGAGAAAAAUAUGGAAACAUGCAUUAAAAUAUUCAGAAAUAAAUGGCUUUUUUAUUACAUAAAAGCUC
Molecule: long non-coding RNA, 1487 nt
Filed under: Papio anubis (olive baboon)
Lineage: Eukaryota; Metazoa; Chordata; Mammalia; Primates; Cercopithecidae
Description: lncRNA (ENSPANG00000039606.1)
Source: RNAcentral